RNAcentral lists this long non-coding RNA (253 nucleotides) under Vitis vinifera (wine grape). Its description in RNAcentral is "long non-coding RNA (VVIN_LNC000785)". The record is from RNAcentral. Lineage: Eukaryota; Viridiplantae; Streptophyta; Magnoliopsida; Vitales; Vitaceae.
UUAGGGUUAUACAACAGAGCAUUGUCGAAUGUCAAUCUGACAUCCGCGGCGAAAUCAAGGGGCGAAUCAUAGAGAUUCUUCGCGAUCUUCGAUUUUACGGUGCCAAGAUCCAUCGGCCUUUUAAUAAUCUGGUGGUAAUCGUGAAGCCCCAUGCCAACAACAUCAACAGGCGAAUUGAACACCCAACUGUGCUUGUGCUUCAUCAGCUUCGUCAACGUUUGUCCGCACAGCUUCAUCAAGCUCGCGUUCUCCG